Molecule: ribosomal RNA, 301 nt
Filed under: uncultured bacterium
Lineage: Bacteria
Description: partial 16S ribosomal RNA
Rfam family: Bacterial small subunit ribosomal RNA
Source: RNAcentral
CAGUAGCCGCGGUAAUACGAAGGGGGCUAGCGUUGCUCGGAAUGACUGGGCGUAAAGGGCGCGUAGGCGGCGGCCAAAGUCAGGCGUGAAAUUCCUGGGCUCAACCUGGGGGCUGCGCUUGAUACUUGGUUGCUUGAGUGGGGAAGAGGGUCGUGGAAUUCCCAGUGUAGAGGUGAAAUUCGUAGAUAUUGGGAAGAACACCGGUGGCGAAGGCGGCGACCUGGUCCUUGACUGACGCUGAGGCGCGAAAGCGUGGGGAGCAAACAGGAUUAGAUACCCGCGUAGUCCCUGUCUCUUAUAC